This 1035-nucleotide long non-coding RNA is filed under the name Sarcophilus harrisii (Tasmanian devil). RNAcentral's name for it is "lncRNA (ENSSHAG00000023212.1)". Lineage: Eukaryota; Metazoa; Chordata; Mammalia; Dasyuromorphia; Dasyuridae. The record is from RNAcentral.
AAUAAAUAUCCGUUCCUUUUCUGUUAACAUCAGUAACUCUGCUUGCCAUUUCUCAACUCACCAACCAAGAGUUCCUCCCCAUCGCUUACUGUUGAGAGAUCAAGAGGAACGAAGCCUGAGAAUGACAUUGGAUUUAGCAACCAACGGAUCAUCGGCGACAUGGCAGCGAGCGUUUUCAUUUGGCUGGUGAAACCAGAAUGCGAGAGAUCGGGAAGUCGUGGGUCAAUUUGAAGAAAGAAAAAAAGAAACGAACCCCCAAACCUCCUAUAUUUCGAGUGGGAAGGAGGGACCAUCUGACCUUUGAGGGUCCUUCCAGGAGGACUGAAGGAAGAGGAUGUCAGUAGCACCGAUAAUUAACCCACCAAUCAACCAGUGCCAGUGAUAUGUCAAGCUCUAGGCAUACAAAUGCCCUCAGAGAGUUUACAUUCUAAUGGAAAGACGGAAACAAUGGCUGGAAAAUCCAGGGUUCAAAUCUUGCUUAUGGUACUUUAAGCAAAUCACUUCAUUCUCUGUGCCUCAGUUUCCUCAUCUGUAAAACGAGGGGGUUGCCUUGGAUGACUUCUGAGGAACCUUCCUGCUGUGUCCUGGGGUGGAAUAAGCUCAGCUCCCUGAGGUCAGACUUCUUUUGCCCACCUGGAUGGGUCCCAGACCUCUCCAGAUGUCUUUCCCAGGGAGGUGAGCCUUCUAGCGAACAGGAACUCCUCCUUCCUAAACCGGAUAUGGGCUAAAGGACAAGGGGCCCGGAGUUGUUUUUUUCCCUUUCCUGACAUCCCUCCUUCUCCUUGGGGAUGGUUUCCUCAGCAAUGCAGGCAGCAGCUGUGGCUCGCAGCCCUCCCCAGAGCUUAGGAAUGUUUCCGUCCUCUCCCUCAAUCUUAAUGAGCCAUCAAGAGUGAGCAGCUUCCAGAGGGUCUGGGAGGGAGGGAGAGAGUCUUUCCCAUCAACCUCCUGCCCGUUUCCUGCUCCUUAACCUGGUAUCCAGGAACUUGGUUUUGGUCUCCAACAUUUGUAUAACUACUUCAAUAUAAUUGUUUUCCU